This 1287-nucleotide long non-coding RNA is filed under the name Ficedula albicollis (Collared flycatcher). RNAcentral's name for it is "lncRNA (ENSFALG00000028149.1)". Lineage: Eukaryota; Metazoa; Chordata; Aves; Passeriformes; Muscicapidae. The record is from RNAcentral.
AUGCGAGUUCCCUUCCUCCGAUUGUCAGAAAUUUCUUUUUCACUGUGUGGGCAGGAGACAGAUUUUAACUGUCUCUAUUUUCUCCCUUUUUUUUUUUUUUUUUUUGGGGGGGGGGGGGGGGGGGGGGGGGGGGGGGGGCCUUUUUUUUUUUUUUUUUUUUUAAUUUCGUUUUGUCCCCCCUCCCCCUUCCCUUCCUUCCUUCCCUGCUCCUCUCGUCUCUCCCUCCCCCCUUCCUCUUCCCUCCCUCCUUUUUCCCUCCCUUCCCCACGGCUCUUUUCCUCCCUUUUCCUUUACAAACCAUGUCUCUGGAACAACCCCCGGCCGGAUCCAUGCCUCUGUCCCCAGGUAAGCCAUGCCCAGCGGGAUGGUGACCCUGGGCCAGCUCUCCCAAAGUCCGCGGGGACGUCGUGUGUCCUCCCCCCCGCCACUCGCUGCUCCCUGUUGGGGAAGGUCGGGAGGGGGGGGGGGGGGGCCCGCCACUCGCUGCUACCUGUUGGGGAAGGUCGGGAGACGCCAGUUGGGGCUGUCUCCAUCCUCCUCCUCCUCCUCCUCCUCCUCUCCCUGAGCGAUUCCCGGUGGACACCUCCUCCCCUCCCUUCUGGCUGCGCUGCUCUCCGGGAUGCGCGGGGCUCCGGGGAUGGAGCGCGGGGGAAGCAGCCGGCGGCAGGGGGGGGGGGGGGGGGGGGGGGGGGGGGGGGGGGGGGGGGGGGGGGGGGGGGGGGGGGGGGGGGGGGGGGGGGGGGGGGGGGGGGGGGUGGGUUGGGACAGGGCAGCUCGGGGGGCUCCGGGGUGACCCCCCCCCCCCAAAAACCCCUGGGACGGCACCCCAAGUUUGAAGCCCGGCUCCCGCUUUUUCCCAUUCCCGAGGUUUCUGGGGAGCGGGGAUGGGCUCUCGCAAAGUUUGUGCUGAGGGAGCCUCGGCUCUCUGCUGAGGGUGGUUUGGGGGGCUGGGGGUCCCGGGGGACCCGCCACCCUCGGGAAGGAAGGUGUGUAAGCGGGGCCGUGCCGGGGGCUGCCCACCCUCAUCCCCCCGUGGGUGAAGCUGGAUGGAGGUGCGAGCCCCCUCUCAUCCCUGCCUGGCUGGGAUGCAGGGCAGCACCGGGCUCCUUCGGCUGCAGCCCGCCUCCCCUGCCAGCCCAAGGCUGCCCAGAUGUGCGGGAUCUCUCUCCUCCUCUCCCCUUCCUGCCCUCGGCACCCAGCGCUCCGUCUCGUCUCGUCUCCCUGCACCCAGUCCCCGCUUUCUCUGGGUCCAGGUGCUGCUCCCGAGUGCCUGGGUGUUGCUGGUGA